This 450-nucleotide ribosomal RNA is filed under the name uncultured soil bacterium. RNAcentral describes it as "bacterial SSU rRNA". It matches the Rfam family "Bacterial small subunit ribosomal RNA", at positions 8 to 493 of the family's 1533-position model. The record is from RNAcentral.
AGAGUUUGAUCCUGGCUCAGGAUGAGCGCUGGCGGCGUGCCUAAUACAUGCAAGUCGAGCGGAAAGGCCUCUUCGGAGGUACUCGAGCGGCGGACGGCUGAGUAACGCGUAGGAACGUACCCCAAAGUGAGGGAUAACUGCUCGAAAGAGUGGCUAAUACCGCAUGUGAUCUACGGAUUAAAGCUUUAUGCGCUUUGGGAACGGCCUGCGUCCGAUUAGCUAGUUGGUGAGGUAAAAGCUUACCAAGGCGACGAUCGGUAGCUGGUCUGAGAGGAUGAUCAGCCAGACUGGGACUGAGACACGGCCCAGACUCCUACGGGAGGCAGCAGUAGGGAAUUUUCCACAAUGGGCGAAAGCCUGAUGGAGCAACGCCGCGUGCAGGAUGAAUGCCUUCGGGUUGUAAACUGCUUUUAAUAGUGACGAUUAUGACGGUAACUAUGAAAAGACCUC